GAGACAGGCGCUCAGAACAUUCAGUCUGAAGAGUCAUAGGAACAGUUUGCCCUUUUGGUCUGAGGAUUCGGCAGAGAGCCCCCACCCGUGAUGUAGUCUCCACAAGUGGCUGUGAGGCUCCAUUAGAUCCAGCCUAGGGAAGACAGAACGUUCCCUUUUUCUUUGUGUAUGUCUGUGUGUCUGUGCCGCGUGUAUGGAAGCCCCUGGAGGCCAGAGGAGGGCUUCAGCUCUCCCGCGCCGGACACUACAGCCCAUUGCGAGCUGCCCGAGGUGGGUCCUGGGAACUGGACUCUCCUCUGAAGAGCAUCGAGUGCUUGCAAUAGUGAGACGACCUCGGGUUUGCCAUGUGUGACCCAGAAAGCAGUGGCUUUCCCUCUCCUUCAGGCAGCUGAGAUACAGCUCACCUCCCAAGUGCUUUUUCUUUUCUUUCGAGACUGCAUUUCUCCAUAUGGACC
Alexandromys fortis (reed vole) is the source of this 455-nucleotide long non-coding RNA. RefSeq lists it as uncharacterized. The transcript has 3 exons. The record is from RefSeq and is a predicted model, not a curated record. NCBI's taxonomy places the organism in Eukaryota, Metazoa, Chordata, Mammalia, Rodentia, Cricetidae.